AUGCUGGAAUUACAGAUGUGCACCACCAUGCCUGGCAAAUUAAACAAUUUUAUCUGCUAUUUGUAUCUUAUGCUACCCAGGGAAAAAUUAAGAAGAAGAGAAGAGAGAAAACAAAUAAGUGGAGGGGAAAAAGAAAGGUAUCUUCUGAGAUGUCCAUCAUCCUUUCUGGUCCUCAGUCACUGGUCCACACCAUUUGCCACUAAGAUGUUGUCAUUCCUGUUUGUCUGGUACCUUCAGGUGAUUGCAGAAAUGUUUAAGAAGACAUGGCAUUAAACUUUUAAAGAUUUGUGGUGAUAAAACUUCUGCUGAUCAUGAAGCAGUGGAGCAAUUUAUUGGUGAGUUUGCUAAAACUAUUGGUGUUGAAAUCUGAUGCCAGAACAAGUAUGUAAUGUGGAUGAAAUAUCACUGUUUUGGCAUUAUUGCCCUGGAAGGACACUGACUACAGCUGAUGACACAGCCCCUAUAGAAUUAAGGAUGUCAGGGACAGGAUAACUGCUGAUAUGGGCUAAUGCAUAAAGUACACAUUAAGUGUAAACUUGCUGUGAUAGGCAAAAGCUGUGUCCUUGCUGUUUUCAGUAGGUGAAUUUCUUAUGUGUCCAUCAUCAUGCUAGCAAAAUAGCUUGAAUAACCAGGAAUAUCUUUUCUGAUUGGUUUCACAAAAAUUGUAUACUAGUGGCUCAGGCUCACAGCACAGAAGGCUGCACUGGGUGAUGACUACAAAAUUUUUAAAAAUUCCUUGACAAAUGUUCUGCUCAUACUCCAGCUGAAAUUCUCAUAAAAAAUAAUGUUUAUGUCAUGUACUUUCCCCAAAAUGUGACUAUUAAUUCAGCCAUGUGACAGAGUAUCCUUAGAUCAAUGAAGAGUAAAUAUAAAAACGUUUUCUUGAAUAGCAUGCAACAGCAGUGGACAGGGGCGUGGCUGUGGAAGGUUUUCAGGAGUUUAGCACGAAGUUUACCAUCUAUGCUGUUGCCAGCACUUGGAGCACAGUGAUUAAAGACAAAUUUGU
This 1006-nucleotide long non-coding RNA is filed under the name Papio anubis (olive baboon). Its description in RNAcentral is "lncRNA (ENSPANG00000045879.1)". Lineage: Eukaryota; Metazoa; Chordata; Mammalia; Primates; Cercopithecidae. The record is from RNAcentral.